GCAUUAGUAGCUCAGUUCCAGAGCGUCGGUUUUGUAAGCCGAACGUCGGAGGUUAAAAUCCCCCCUACUGCU
This 72-nucleotide transfer RNA is filed under the name Pagellus acarne (axillary seabream). Its description in RNAcentral is "tRNA-Thr". It matches the Rfam family "tRNA". From Rfam's summary of the family: Transfer RNA (tRNA) molecules are approximately 80 nucleotides in length. Their secondary structure includes four short double-helical elements and three loops (D, anti-codon, and T loops). The record is from RNAcentral. Lineage: Eukaryota; Metazoa; Chordata; Actinopteri; Spariformes; Sparidae.